AUUGAACGCUGGCGGCGUGCCUAAUACAUGCAAGUCGAACGGAGUGGCGCACGGGUGAGUAAUAUACAGCUAAUCUGCCCCUUGCUGGAGGUCAACAGUUAGAAAUGACUGCUAAUACCCCAUAGCAAGGGAUGAGACGAUAUCGUAUCAGCUAGUCGGUGGGGUAACGGCCUACCGAGGCUAGGACCAGUAACUGGUCGGAGAGGAUGAUCAGUCACAUUUGAACGGAGACACGGUCCAAACGUCUUCGGGAGGGAGCAGUAGGGAAGAGUGCGCAAUGGGGGAAACCCUAACGGAGCAUCGGAGCGUGGAGGAUGACACUUUUCGGAGAGUAAACGCCUUUUGUUAGGGAAGCGGUACCUAACGAAUAAGCACCGGCUAACUCCGUGCCAGCAGCCGCGGUAAUUC
Molecule: ribosomal RNA, 408 nt
Filed under: uncultured bacterium
Lineage: Bacteria
Description: partial 16S ribosomal RNA
Rfam family: Bacterial small subunit ribosomal RNA
Source: RNAcentral